AUUGAACGCUGGCGGCAGGCCUAACACAUGCCAGUCGAACGGUAACAGGAAGAAGCUUGCUUCUUUGCUGACGAGUGGCGGACGGGUGAGUAAUGUCUGGGAAACUGCCUGAUGGAGGGGGAUAACUACUGGAAACGGUAGCUAAUACCGCAUAACGUCGCAAGACCAAAGAGGGGUACCUUCGGGCCUCUUGCCAUCGGAUGUGCCCAGAUGGGAUUAGCUAGUAGGUGGGGUAACGGCUCACCUAGGCGACGAUCCCUAGCUGGUCUGAGAGGAUGACCAGCCACACUGGAACUGAGACACGGUCCAGACUCCUACGGGAGGCAGCAGUGGGGAAUAUUGCACAAUGGGCGCAAGCCUGAUGCAGCCAUGCCGCGUGUAUGAAGAAGGCCUUCGGGUUGUAAAGUACUUUCAGCGGGGAGGAAGGGAGUAAAGUUAAUACCUUUGCUCAUUGACGUUACCCGCAGAAGAAGCACCGGCUAACUCCGUG
This 490-nucleotide ribosomal RNA is filed under the name uncultured bacterium. Its description in RNAcentral is "partial 16S ribosomal RNA". It matches the Rfam family "Bacterial small subunit ribosomal RNA", at positions 30 to 507 of the family's 1533-position model. The record is from RNAcentral.